Mycena metata is the source of this 79-nucleotide non-coding RNA. The record is from the annotation of a GenBank genome assembly. Lineage: Eukaryota; Fungi; Basidiomycota; Agaricomycetes; Agaricales; Mycenaceae.
GCGCCCUUGGUGUAAUGCUAACACACUCACUAUCCAGCAUGAAUUCGAGUGGUACUGGGUUCGACUCCCGGAGGACGCC